RNAcentral lists this ribosomal RNA (28 nucleotides) under Haemonchus contortus (barber pole worm). RNAcentral describes it as "partial large subunit ribosomal RNA". The record is from RNAcentral. Lineage: Eukaryota; Metazoa; Nematoda; Chromadorea; Rhabditida; Trichostrongylidae.
UGCAACCUGAGCUCAGCGAGGUUACCCG